CGCCCAUAUUGUGACUGGCUUGUAGGCGUAUGAAGGUCUGGUUAUGAAAUGGGUACAUAGUUAAGUUAAAUAGUAAUUAUCCUCUAAAACGCUCUGGGGACAAACAAACUUAACUGCCCUGUUUCCAAUUGUCCACAUGACUGGGAGAACCUGUUCAAGCGUGUGUCUGGCAGCAGCAUAGUGGUCUAAACUCUGCAGACAGCCACCCACAUCCCUACAAACAUCAUCCAGAAAGCACUGCUGGCUGUGGGCCCUGGGGUGGCAGCCCUGCAGGACCCCUACAGACACGACAUGGUGGUCCGUUCUCGGCGAGACUACAGGACACCUGGCCCUCAUUACGCUCUGGGACAGAACAAGAGGAGACCCUGAGGGCCAUACCAUUCUAAUGUUUCAUCUAUUGGUGUGUUAGAGAGCGCCCAUGGAUUAGGAUAUCCACGUUGGAUCUGUCCAAGAUGGACUUUCUUCCAGAUGGAUCCUCAGGGAGAGAGUACUUGCGCUUCCUUGAGGACAAUAGGGUGACCACUGACUCAAGGGCAGAUGUGAAGUUUGUGGAUAAUGAAGAGUUGGCGUAUGUUAUGCAGAGAUACAGAGAGGUCCACGAUUUACUGCACAGCUUACUAGGCUUGCCCACUAACAUGCUAGAUGUCUGGAAUCCCUGGUGACGUCCCUGGGGACGUGGGCUGUGAGGAAUGGCCAACAGGCUCGCUGUGUCCUGCUGGGAGCAGUCUGUAGGACCUAAGACUGGAACUGAACAUCGAGCCUCCCCUGCUGACCGUCACAGCUUCCAGCCAGAGACCACAUCAGACUCAUAGCACUGACCUCUUGAUGUCACACUGUGUCUGGUCACACUGUGCAACCAGAUGGUAGAGGAUGCAGGAACUCUUUGGAGUGAUGUAAUGUUGGAAUUUUGUUUCAUUUCCCCUUGACAAUGGUUAAGUACAUUAUGACCUGACAUUGAGUAGAAGGGACAUUUUUGGAACAAAACCUUGUUGAGGGUCUUGUAUUACCCACUGCCAUUCUUCAAGCGACAAGUCAUUACCUAGGUUGGACAAACCAAGGACAUGCAAGAGCCUGUUGCUGCUGGUUACACCAGUGGUGGCUUAGUCAUGUCUGGUAUCAUUCAGAUGCUGAGACUGGUUCUAUCUGACAUUUCCUUCUCUUAUAACUCAAGGUACAUCACCCACCUGGUACUGUAAUGACUGUCAAUCAUUGACUGUUUUAUUUGACAAUGUGUGUGUUCAUGACAAGCACAGCACUGUUCAUGCAUCUCUGGUGUGAGAUGUAACGUAUCAAUAAAUUGUUUGCACUUUGUUGAAACCUUUUUUCGAUAAUGCUGGGUUUAGUACAGUACUGUAUUAUCCAAAUUACUACUAGUCUAACUUGUUGCUCAGUCAGCUGGAGCUGAAGUUUGCUUGGAUGUUUUUUUCCAGUUUGUUUGAAGUCGGAACUGACAAUGUCAACAGCAAUGUGUCACUAAGAUGGGAGCAUUCUGUGAAGCCCUUUAAGUUUUCCAAACUACUUCUCACUUAUACAGAACUAUCUUUGAUAACCAUUAUGGGGAGUUUUCUGUAUUUUCUUCUUUCUCUAGGAAGGCAGGUUUUUCUUAUCCACAAAGAAACAUCCAUUAAUAGUACCUCAUACCAUGUGGUUGAUACAGUAAAAGUCUAUUUAAGAAUU
Molecule: long non-coding RNA, 1677 nt
Organism: Oncorhynchus gorbuscha (pink salmon)
Lineage: Eukaryota; Metazoa; Chordata; Actinopteri; Salmoniformes; Salmonidae
Exons: 6
Source: RefSeq, a predicted model, not a curated record